GAUGAACGCUGGCGGCGUGCCUAAUACAUGCAAGUCGAGCGAACAGACGAGGAGCUUGCUCCUCUGACGUUAGCGGCGGACGGGUGAGUAACACGUGGAUAACCUACCUAUAAGACUGGGAUAACUUCGGGAAACCGGAGCUAAUACCGGAUAAUAUAUUGAACCGCAUGGUUCAAUAGUGAAAGACGGUUUUGCUGUCACUUAUAGAUGGAUCCGCGCCGCAUUAGCUAGUUGGUAAGGUAACGGCUUAUCAAGGCGACGAUGCGUAGCCGACCUGAGAGGGUGAUCGGCCACACUGGAACUGAGACACGGUCCAUACUCCUACGGGAGGCAGCAGUAGGGAAUCUUCCGCAAUGGGCGAAAGCCUGACGGAGCAACGCCGCGUGAGUGAUGAAGGUCUUCGGAUCGUAAAACUCUGUUAUUAGGGAAGAACAAAUGUGUAAGUAACUAUGCACGUCUUGACGGUACCUAAUCAGAAAGCCACGGCUAACUACGUG
This 497-nucleotide ribosomal RNA is filed under the name uncultured bacterium. RNAcentral describes it as "partial 16S ribosomal RNA". It matches the Rfam family "Bacterial small subunit ribosomal RNA", at positions 28 to 507 of the family's 1533-position model. The record is from RNAcentral.